RNAcentral lists this microRNA (20 nucleotides) under Ciona intestinalis (vase tunicate). Its description in RNAcentral is "cin-miR-4046-5p". The record is from miRBase by way of RNAcentral. Lineage: Eukaryota; Metazoa; Chordata; Ascidiacea; Phlebobranchia; Cionidae.
CAGGGUGUUGCGUGUUACUU